UAGACACACAACAUCACAUGGUUCCACUGACACUGGCUUUUGGACAGCAAUGUUGGCAAUAACACACUAUGGACUGCCUUAUCCAGCCCACAACUCCACAAAAUAGGACCAGCUAAGACAACAAUGUAACAGGAAUACAAAAAUCCUUUCAAUAUUUUUUCUACACUGAAUGCCUUGAAGGCCCAGAGGGUUCCACUGCAGUAUUUAAAGUCAAAGUUCCACCUGUGCCAAAAGGUCCGCCAUCUUGGACAGCUACCUAUGGCUACACCACUUGGACAAACCACAUAUUGUGAUCUGAGUUUCGUGUUGCAACCUAAGUUUCGACCAUGAUCUGAGAUUAUCCUGUCUAUUACACAACUGUUUACUAAAGAAAUCAAUAACCUGACACAAAUGUUGGCGUAAGAAUGAUUUCAUUGAUUUAAAAAUGAUUUUGUCUCCUUUCUGUCUUAUCCCAGCCAGGCGCAGCAGAUGGCCGCCCACCGUGAGAAGAUUUGACACAUAUGAAUACUGACUGGACUUAAAUGUGUUUUACCUGAGCUGUCUUGUUUCAUCCUCCGUUGUUGACAUUAAAUUGAUGAAACACUGAUAAUUUAGCUUUUUUUAAUACUCAGAUCCUGUAGUUGUUUUUAUACUGUGUAUUUUGGUAAAAUGUCAGUGUAGGCAAAGAUAUUAAAUACAUUUAUAUAAAACAGAAUUAUCUUCUUGCAUAUUAUCUCAACAAGCACAGGCUGACCUCAUGGAAGUUUUCAUCUGUUUUCAGUGUUCUUAUGUAUGACAUAUUUCACAGCAUGAGUUAUUACAGAAAGUGUUUGGUUCAUGUUUAAGUUGUAAUUCUUUGGCUCUGAAGGUUAUAAAAGUAGUGUGAAAAGAUAAAAGUAUCAACAUUACCCUGCUAGAUCACCCUAAAUCAUACACACUAAAGUUAAUAUUGCAUUUCUUAUGUUGCAGCUGGUAAAGGUGCUGCAAAUUUCAAUUAUUCAUUCAUACAUCAUUAUUUAUUAGUUUAUUAAUAUUUUGUAUUAAAAGAAAUAGAUAUACAUCUCUAAACCCACUGAGAACAUUGCACUUUGUGUUCAGGGUGGCAGAAAUAAAGCUUAACGCUAAAUUGGAAGUCUCUGAGGGAUCCUGCAUGAGACACCAGCAACAUCAAAUACCUGCUUGCGAUUCAGUUGUGGCUUCUUUUUUUUUUAAAGCUGCCCCUUUAAUACUAUUAAUAUCCCUGACAGAAACGUUCCUAAAAAGCCUUUAGGGACCGGUCUUUACUUAUCAGGGGUGGGGGUGAGGUAGGGAGCCUGGGAUUGUGACUUUGUUUUUUGUUUUAUUUUUCUGACAACAAACAACAUGCGACAAACAUGCAACAUGCAUGGUGCGUCUGUGGCUGAGUGGUAGAGCAGGCGCCCCAUGUACAAGGCUGUUGCCGCAGCGGCCCGGGUUCGACUCCAGCCUGUGGCCCUCUCUCUCCCUUCACGCUCACCUGUCCUAUCAAUUAAAGGCUCAAAAAUGCCCAAAAAAAUAUCUUAAAAAAAAAGCAACAUGCAACAAAACUUAUAUCGGGGAGACAGGUAGAGCCUUCAGUACAAGAAGAAAUGAACAUAGGAAAGAGUGUGAAAAGGAAACAUCCAGAGCACGGACCUGUGCAAAAAAAGAAAAAGUGGAGCAGGAAAAUCUGAAAUCAGCCAUCUCAGACCACUGCAAAAGGGAGAAUCACAUCAUGAACUGGAAAGAGGCCAAGGUCAUUCAAACAAAAGCAACAAGUACCACCGUUGGAUUGCAGAGGUGGUGGAAAUCCGCAACCCUGCAUCCAGAACUGUAAACCGGGAUGAGGGAGCAUACCAACUAUCUCACACCUGGGAUGCAGUGUUACAGAAGUGCCGUCUGUAGGACUGCCGGACAGUGAGGGGCCCCACCCCCCAUCAUCUGGAGGAAUGCCAUCAGAAGUGUACCUGAUGGCAGGGGGCCUCGCCCCCUGUUGCCUAAUGGGCUGUUGGAUAGCAGGGAACCCUGCCGUCAUUCAGGUUCCACCACUCAGGUGGAAUGACAACCUGGAUAAAACAUCUACAGGACACGUCACCACAACAUCACGUGACGCCUCUGAUGAUGAUGACAGACGCAGUCGUCGAAACUGUCAAGUUACAAGAGGCACAUGAGAUGUAGCUUGGCAGUCCACCAACAGAUGCUCAUCCACCAAUACAGAACAGGGAUACAACAUGGACUGUGCAUCACAUUGACACUGGUCCACCCUUGAAUAUAGCAGCUGGAGAGCAGCAGGUAAGGGGGAAGAGAGAGGAUGACACACAGCAAAGGACAGCAGGAGGGUUUUGAACCCAUGCCGGUACCAAUGACUCAGCCUACAUGGGGCGCACACUCUCCCAGAGUUAACUGAAGACUUACCGCCUUCCCAGGCCGUGCCCAGGUGCAGAUGAGACCUUCCUGGCAGGCUGUGAUGAUGCAGUCGUCCAUGAACACCAGGACGGUCAGCCUCUCAUGUGCAAUCUUCUUGCACACCAGCG
Epinephelus moara (kelp grouper) is the source of this 2510-nucleotide long non-coding RNA. RefSeq lists it as uncharacterized. The transcript is spliced from 5 exons. The record is from RefSeq and is a predicted model, not a curated record. Lineage: Eukaryota; Metazoa; Chordata; Actinopteri; Perciformes; Serranidae.